This 764-nucleotide ribosomal RNA is filed under the name uncultured fungus. RNAcentral's name for it is "eukaryotic LSU rRNA". It matches the Rfam family "Eukaryotic large subunit ribosomal RNA", at positions 30 to 821 of the family's 3401-position model. The record is from RNAcentral. Lineage: Eukaryota; Fungi.
GAACUUAAGCAUAUCAAUAAGCGGAGGAAAAGAAACCAACAGGGAUUGCCCUAGUAACGGCGAGUGAAGCGGCAACAGCUCAAAUUUGAAAUCUGGCCCUUGGGUCCGAGUUGUAAUUUGUAGAGGAUGUUUUUGGUGCGGUAUCUUCCGAGUUCCUUGGAACAGGACGCCUUAGAGGGUGAGAGCCCCGUACGGUUGAAUGCCUAGCCUCUGUAAAACUCCUUCGACGAGUCGAGUAGUUUGGGAAUGCUGCUCUAAAUGGGAGGUAAAUUUCUUCUAAAGCUAAAUACUGGCCAGAGACCGAUAGCGCACAAGUAGAGUGAUCGAAAGAUGAAAAGCACUUUGAAAAGAGGGUUAAAUAGCACGUGAAAUUGUUGAAAGGGAAGGAUUUAUGACCAGACCUUUUCUGGGCGGAUCAUCCGGUGUUCUCACCGGUGCACUUCGCUCAGUUUAGGCCAGCAUCGAUUUUCGGUGGGGGAUAAAAGCUUUAGGAAUGUGGCUCCUCCGGGAGUGUUAUAGCCUAUUGUAUAAUACCCUACUGGGGAUCGAGGUACGCGCUUCUGCAAGGAUGCUGGCGUAAUGGUUAUCAAUCACCCGUCUUGAAACACGGACCAAGGAGUCGAACAUUUGUGCAAGUGUUUGGGUGUUAAACCCUCACGCGUAAUGAAAGUGAACGGAGGUGAGAGCCCUUACGGGUGCAUCAUCGACCGAUCCUGAUGUUUUCGGAUGGAUUUGAGUAAGAGCAUAACUGUUCGGACCCGAAA